Bubalus bubalis (water buffalo) is the source of this 926-nucleotide long non-coding RNA. RefSeq lists it as uncharacterized. The record is from RefSeq and is a predicted model, not a curated record. The transcript has 4 exons. NCBI's taxonomy places the organism in Eukaryota, Metazoa, Chordata, Mammalia, Artiodactyla, Bovidae.
UGAAUCUGGGCAGGCUUUCUGACUGUGAGGCCAACAGGAUGUGGCAACCCUUAUGAUGUGAGAGUUUCUAGCCUCUGACCUUAAUAAACUGGGAGCUUCUGCUUCCUGUCUCUUGGGGCACUUUCUGGGAGCUGCACGCCCCUCAGCAAGAUGCCUGAGUACUCUGACAGUGCCGGGCCAGAGGGUCCUCAUAGAGUCCCUUGAUCGACCGUCCUGGCCAAGUGUAGUUUUCCAGCUGUUAUUGCCAAGGCAUCUGACGUGUGAGUGAACUACACUGGACCCUGCAGACUACACCAUACCUGCCUGUUGAACUCUGUCAUGUGACCUCCAUUGACACCACAUGGAACACACUGCGUAGCUGAACCCUGCCUGAAUUCCUGACCCUCAACAUUAUUGGAAGCACUGUGAAGACCACAGGGACCGUGCAUGGUUUGUUCACACUGUGUGCUCAUGUAGCCCAGUAUUGAGACACUCGUUUGUACUUGGCCAGAUGUUUUAUCCUGCUACGUUAAGUCAUCUUGACAUGCUGCCAUGAAGUGGAAACAACUGCUAGUUUUAAUAUCGCUCCAUAUCUUUAUUACAAGUCAAAAGGCUUGAACUUCAUGGAUGAGGACUUGUGUUUUCAUUGAAUGAGGAACCGACUGUCUGAGCCAGCAGCUGAAGAUUCCAAAGAAUCAUGGUGUCUCCUCUGACAAUGGGUCCUUAGAGGGCCCUCUUCUAUCCCAGCAGCAAAGGUCCCUCACUGUGAUCGUCCGGUGGUGCUGACUUGCCCAUGAAACCCUCGGUCCUACACCUUGGAGACUGCCUUCUGUCCGAAGUGUUUGAGACAGGGCCCUGGUUUUAUGAACUCAGUGCCUGUCUCUGAAAGACAGCAGAUGCAAUGAGGCCCCGGAUGGAAACAAUAAAUACCAUUCAGAUUUCCCGCA